GAUUCAAUUUUAAGAAGGUGUC
This 22-nucleotide non-coding RNA is filed under the name Mus musculus (house mouse). Lineage: Eukaryota; Metazoa; Chordata; Mammalia; Rodentia; Muridae. The record is from RNAcentral. RNAcentral also lists the same sequence under 1 other name.